GACGAAGGGGGCUAGCGUUGCUCGGAAUCACUGGGCGUAAAGGGUGCGUAGGCGGGGCUUUAAGUCAGGGGUGAAAUCCUGGAGCUCAACUCCAGAACUGCCUUUGAUACUGAAGAUCUUGAGUUCGGGAGAGGUGAGUGGAACUGCGAGUGUAGAGGUGAAAUUCGUAGAUAUUCGCAAGAACACCAGUGGCGAAGGCGGCUCACUGGCCCGAUACUGACGCUGAGGCACGAAAGCGUGGGGAGCAAACAGG
Molecule: ribosomal RNA, 253 nt
Filed under: uncultured bacterium
Lineage: Bacteria
Description: partial 16S ribosomal RNA
Rfam family: Bacterial small subunit ribosomal RNA
Source: RNAcentral